CCUACGGGAGGCAGCAGUGGGGAAUAUUGCGCAAUGGGGGAAACCCUGACGCAGCAACGCCGCGUGAAGGAUGAAGGUUUUCGGAUUGUAAACCUCUUUUCUGGGAGAAGAGACAAGGACGGUAUCCCAGGAAUAAGUCUCGGCUAACUACGUGCCAGCAGCCGCGGUAAUACGUAGGAGGCUAGCGUUAUCCGGAUUCACUGGGCGUAAAGCGCACGCAGGCGGUCAUGUAAGUCAGACGUGAAAGCUCCUGGCUCAACUGGGAGAGGUCGUUUGAUACUGCAUGGCUUGAGGUUGGGAGAGGGAAGCGGAAUUCCCGGUGUAGUGGUGGAAUGCGUAGAUAUCGGGAGGAACACCAGUGGCGAAAGCGGCUUCCUGGCCCAUACCUGACGCUCAGGUGCGAAAGCGUGGGGAGCGAACGGGAUUAGAUACCCCGGUAGUCCACGCUGUAAACGAUGCGAACUAGGUGUUGGUAGUAUUAAUCCUAUCAGUGCCGUAGCUAACGCGAUAAGUUCGCCGCCUGGGGACUACGGCCGCAAGGCUAAAACUUAAAGGAAUUGACGG
RNAcentral lists this ribosomal RNA (564 nucleotides) under uncultured bacterium. RNAcentral's name for it is "bacterial SSU rRNA". It matches the Rfam family "Bacterial small subunit ribosomal RNA", at positions 338 to 916 of the family's 1533-position model. The record is from RNAcentral.